Molecule: RNase P RNA, 458 nt
Filed under: Flavobacteriales bacterium
Lineage: Bacteria; Pseudomonadati; Bacteroidota; Flavobacteriia; Flavobacteriales
Description: RNase P RNA component class A
Rfam family: Bacterial RNase P class A
About the family: Ribonuclease P (RNase P) is a ubiquitous endoribonuclease, found in archaea, bacteria and eukarya as well as chloroplasts and mitochondria.
Source: RNAcentral
CCUGUGCAUCGCCUCGUCGCUGUCCCCGUCGCAAGGCGGGGAGGGAGGAAAGUCCGGGCAGCGCAGGGCACCGUGCUUCCUAACGGGAAGGGGGCGUGGCGGGGACGCCACGUCCACGGAAAGUGCCGCAGAAAGGGAGACCGCCGAACCGCAGCGAUGUGGUGGCAAGGGUGAAAAGGUGGGCCCGCCUCCGUGCGGGAUAGGCGCUUCGGCGCUCAAAGCAAGAGCCCACCAGUGCCGGUGGCGACAUCGGCAGCUUGGUAAACCCCACGGGCUGAAAGACAAAAUAGGCCGGGAACCACCAACGCUCCGCAAGGGGCGGCGGCGGUAAGGGCGGCCCGCCCGACCCCGGCGGGUAGGUCGAUGGAGGCCCAUCGCGAGGUGGGUCCUGGAUAGAUGACGAGGGCCUCCGCCGCAAGGCGGGGGAACAGAACCCGGCUUACAGAUGCACAGGCCUU